Molecule: ribosomal RNA, 1064 nt
Filed under: uncultured cyanobacterium
Lineage: Bacteria; Bacillati; Cyanobacteriota
Description: bacterial SSU rRNA
Rfam family: Bacterial small subunit ribosomal RNA
Source: RNAcentral
GGUACCUGAAGAAAAAGCAUCGGCUAACUCCGUGCCAGCAGCCGCGGUAAUACGGAGGAUGCAAGCGUUAUCCGGAAUCAUUGGGCGUAAAGGGUCCGCAGGUGGCGAAUAAAGUCUGCUGUUAAAGACCGGGGCUUAACUCCGGAAAGGCAGUGGAAACUGAUUAGCUAGAGUAAGGUAGGGGUAGAGGGAAUUCCCAGUGUAGCGGUGAAAUGCGUAGAUAUUGGGAAGAACACCGGUGGCGAAAGCGCUCUACUAGGCCGAAACUGACACUGAGGGACGAAAGCUAGGGUAGCGAAAGGGAUUAGAUACCCCUGUAGUCUCAGCGGUAAACGAUGGAUACUAGGUGUAGCUUGUAUCGACCCGAGCUGUGCCGAAGCUAACGCGAUAAGUAUCCCGCCUGGGGAGUACGCACGCAAGUGUGAAACUCAGAGGAAUUGACGGGGGCCCGCACAAGCGGUGGAGUAUGUGGUUUAAUUCGAUGCAACGCGAAGAACCUUACCAGGGCUUGACAUGUCGCGAAUCUAGCGGGAACGUUAGAGUGCCUUAGGGAAUGCGAACACAGGUGGUGCAUGGCUGUCGUCAGCUCGUGUCGUGAGAUGUUGUGUUAAGUCCCGCAACGAGCGCAACCCUCGUCCUUAGUUGCCAAUAUUAAGUUAGGCACUCUAGGGAGACUGCCGGGGACAACUCGGAGGAAGGUGGGGAUGACGUCAAGUCAGCAUGCCCCUUACGUCCUGGGCUACACACGUACUACAAUGGUUGGGACAAAGGGCAGCAAGCUCGCGAGAGUAAGCGAAUCUCAUCAAACCCAGCCACAGUUCAGAUUGCAGGCUGCAACUCGCCUGCAUGAAGUAGGAAUCGCUAGUAAUCGCAGGUCAGCAUACUGCGGUGAAUUCGUUCCCGGGCCUUGUACACACCGCCCGUCACACCAUGGAAGCUGGCUACGCCCGAAGUCGUUACCCUAACCCGGUUUUGGGAGGGGGAUGCCGAAGGUAGAGCUAGUGACUGGGGUGAAGUCGUAACAAGGUAGCCGUACCGGAAGGUGUGGCUGGAUCACCUCCUUU